CGGUGUUCAACUGGCGUGUCCGCGGGACGUCCUGCCGGUGGGCUUAGCCCGCAAGGGCGGCCCAACUUCAAAUCCCAUCGCGGUGCUCUUCACUGAGUGUCGAGGUGGGCCGGCACGUUUACUUUGAACAAAUUAGAGUGCUUAAAGCAGGCUAAAACUUCGCCUGAAUACUGUGUGCAUGGAAUAAUGGAAUAGGACCUCGGUUCUAUUUUGUUGGUUUUCGGAACCCCGAGGUAAUGAUUAAUAGGAACGGAUGGGGGCAUUCGUAUUGCGACGUUAGAGGUGAAAUUCUUGGAUCGUCGCAAGACGGGACAGAAGCGAAAGCAUUUUGCCAAAAACGCUUUCAUUGAUCAAGAACGAAAGUUAGAGGUUCGAAGGCGAUCAGAUACCGCCCUAGUUCUAACCAUAAACGAUGCCAGCUAGCGAUCCGUCGACGUUCCUCCGAUGACUCGACGGGCAGCUUCCGGGAAACCAAAGCUUUUGGGUUCCGGGGGAAGUAUGGUUGCAAAGCUGAAACUUAAAGGAAUUGACGGAAGGGCACCACCAGGAGUGGAGCCUGCGGCUUAAUUUGACUCAACACGGGAAACCUCACCAGGCCCGGACACCGGAAGGAUUGACAGAUUGAGAGCUCUUUCUUGAUUCGGUGGGUGGUGGUGCAUGGCCGUUCUUAGUUGGUGGAGCGAUUUGUCUGGUUAAUUCCGAUAACGAACGAGACUCUAGCCUGCUAACUAGGCGUAUUUUCGACAUCUCAAAGGUCCGUCGUCCCGGCCCUCGGGUCGUGGGCGUGCGCGAUUUUUACUGUCGGCGUACUAUCAAUUCUUCUUAGAGGGACAGGUGGCUUCUAGCCGCACGAGAUUGAGCAAUAACAGGUCUGUGAUG
This 879-nucleotide ribosomal RNA is filed under the name uncultured eukaryote. RNAcentral's name for it is "SSU rRNA". It matches the Rfam family "Eukaryotic small subunit ribosomal RNA", at positions 636 to 1469 of the family's 1831-position model. The record is from RNAcentral.